AACGAACGCUGGCGGCAUGCCUAACACAUGCCAGUCGAACGAGACCUUCGGGUCUAGUGGCGCACGGGUGCGUAACGCGUGGGAACCUGCCCUUAGGUUCGGAAUAACUCCCCGAAAGGGGUGCUAGUACCGGAUAAUGUCUUCGGACCAAAGAUUUAUCGCCUUUGGAUGGGCCCGCGUUGGAUUAGCUAGUUGGUAGGGUAAAAGCCUACCAAGGCGACGAUCCAUAGCUGGUCUGAGAGGAUGAUCAGCCACACUGGGACUGAGACACGGCCCAGACUCCUACGGGAGGCAGCAGUGGGGAAUAUUGGACAAUGGGCGAAAGCCUGAUCCAGCAAUGCCGCGUGAGUGAUGAAGGCCUUAGGGUUGUAAAGCUCUUUUACCCGGGAUGAUAAUGACAGUACCGGGAGAAUAAGCUCCGGCUAACUCCGUG
Molecule: ribosomal RNA, 433 nt
Filed under: uncultured bacterium
Lineage: Bacteria
Description: partial 16S ribosomal RNA
Rfam family: Bacterial small subunit ribosomal RNA
Source: RNAcentral